UAACACCUGCACCACGAGUGGUGAUCGCGUUUAUUGGGCCUAAAGCGUUCGUAGCCGGAUAAGUCAAUUUUAAGUGAAAUCGUUGCGCUUAACAAAACGACGUGCUUGAAAUAUUGCUUGUCUUGGGACCGGGAGGAGUCAAGGGUAUUUCUGAGGGAGCGGUAAAAUGCUAUAAUCUCAGGAGGACCACCUGUGGCGAAGGCGCUUGACUAGAACGGGUCCGACGGUGAGGAACGAAAGCUAGGGGAGCAAAACGGAUUAGAUACCCGAGUAGUCCUAGCUGUAAACGCUGUGAACUAUAUGUUGCGUAUUCUAUAUGGAUGCGCAGUGUCGGAGCGAAGGCAUUAAGUUCACCGCCUGGGAAGUACGGUCGCAAGGCUG
RNAcentral lists this ribosomal RNA (381 nucleotides) under uncultured euryarchaeote. Its description in RNAcentral is "bacterial SSU rRNA". It matches the Rfam family "Archaeal small subunit ribosomal RNA", at positions 471 to 851 of the family's 1478-position model. The record is from RNAcentral. Lineage: Archaea; Methanobacteriati; Methanobacteriota.